AUAGCUGGUUCUCUCCGAAAUAGCUUUAGGGCUAGCCUCGACUGAACAUUACCGGAGGUAAAGCACUGAAUGGGCUAGGGGCCGAGAGGUUACUGAACCCUAUCAAACUAAGAAUGCCGGAUAAUGAUAGUCGGGAGUCAGACAGUGUGAGAUAAGUUUCAUUGUCGAAAGGGAAACAGCCCAGACCCACAGCUAAGGUCCCAAAGUAUCGUUAAGUGGAAAAGGAUGUGGAACUGCCCAGACAACCAGGAUGUUGGCUCAGAAGCAGCCAUACAUUCAAAGAGUGCGUAAUAGCUCACUGGUCGAGUGGUUCUGCGCCGAAAAUUUAACGGGGCUAAACGAUACACCGAAGCUUGGGAUGCAGCAUUGGCUGCAUGGUAGGAGAGCGUUCUGUACGGGGUGAAGUCAUAGCGGAAGCGGUGGUGGACUGUACAGAAGAGAGAAUGCCGGAAUGAGUAGCGAGAUUUAUGUGAGAAUCAUAAAGGCCGAAAGACUAAGGAUUUAGAAGGAAGGUUCGUCCGCUUCUAGUUAGCCGGGAGCUAAGGCGAGGCCGAAAGGCGUAGUCGAUGCACAUACGGUGGAGAUUCCGUAGCCGCCUCUUAAUUUAAGCAAAGGGACACUUUCAAAGGGAAUGACCCGGGCGUUGGUAGCCCCGGGCGAAAGGGACCGAAAUUAGAGUAGGGAAGCAUUUCUGGAGGAAGGCGAGAAAAGCUUUGCGGAUAGAGAGAGGCGCCCGUACCGCAAACCGACACAGGUAGUCAGGAAGAGGAUUCUAAGGCCAACGGGAGAAGGGUAGUUAAGGAACUCGGCAAAUUGACCCCGUAACUUCGGAAUAAGGGGUGCUCCUGAAAAGGAGCCGCAGUGAAUAGGCCCAGGCGACUGUUUAUCAAAAACACAGCUCUCUGCUAAAUCGAAAGAUGAAGUAUAGGGGGUGACACCUGCCCGGUGCUGGAAGGUUAAGAGGAAGGGUGCAAGCUCUGAAUUGAAGCCCCAGUAAACGGCGGCCGUAACUAUAACGGUCCUAAGGUAGCGAAAUUCCUUGUCGGGUAAGUUCCGACCCGCACGAAUGGUGUAACGAUCUGGGCACUGUCUCAACUACCCACCCGGCGAAAUUGUAGUACCGGUGAAGAUGCCGGUUACCCGCGGCAAGACGGAAAGACCCCAUGGAGCUUUACUGUAGCCUGAUAUUGGGUUUCGGUAUUCUAUGUACAGGAUAGGCGGGAGACUGGGAACCG
Molecule: ribosomal RNA, 1235 nt
Filed under: gut metagenome
Description: bacterial LSU rRNA
Rfam family: Bacterial large subunit ribosomal RNA
Source: RNAcentral